UCUAGUUUCGGGUGGUUUUUCGGAGACUACGAGGACCCUGAUUUUGAGUGUGAACAACACACUAAUGCAGACACAACUUUCAAGGAUUCAAUGGCUGAAAAUGAGAUAACUUCUCCCGCAAAGACCCCUGCCAAAAGAAGUAGAGAAGAGGAUGGGUCAUCUGUAGUAGAUGUUGGUGAUGAUCUUGCACAAUUUUCAAGUAACAAGGUUAAAAAAGUGAUCAAACAGGAGAAAAAUCCGUGAAUUAAAACAUUUACUUCCUUUUAAAUGACAUUAUUCAUAAAAUUUCAUUAGCAAGUACUUUGGCACAAAUUGAAGUAGUUUGGUUUGUAUUUAAUUUGGUUUCUACCAUUUAGGAUCAUGAUUUAAUAUCUGAAAUUAGUUGACUCUU
Molecule: non-coding RNA, 391 nt
Organism: Nicotiana tabacum (common tobacco)
Lineage: Eukaryota; Viridiplantae; Streptophyta; Magnoliopsida; Solanales; Solanaceae
Source: RefSeq, a predicted model, not a curated record